Long non-coding RNA from Patella vulgata (common limpet), 285 nucleotides. RefSeq lists it as uncharacterized. Lineage: Eukaryota; Metazoa; Mollusca; Gastropoda; Patellidae. The transcript has 3 exons. The record is from RefSeq and is a predicted model, not a curated record.
UUUUUUCAGUUACCCACCUCGGAAGAUCAAGACAGUUGGAAAGGGCUUUUGAUAUUGUGGAAGCGUUUUCUCACAGAGCUUGCUUAUCAGACAAAGGCUAUUUAACUACAUCAGAAAGAUAAAGACAGUUGGAAAUGGCUAUUCAUAUUGUGGAAAAUUUUCUCACAGAGCUUGAUAAUCAGGCAAAAUGCUGGAACACCAUUGAAAGAGUAUUUGAUGUAUGAUAACAACAAGAGAACCCAAGCAUCAAUUUAUUAUAUACUUCUGGGAAAGAAUGCAUUUGAC